UCCAUUCAACUUUUUCCCAAACAUCCCGACAGCCCAUUGCCUCACUCUCACUCCAACUCUCACUCUCCAUUGCCUUCUUCCUCCUCGCAACACCCAUUGCCUCCAUUGCCUUCAUGCCAUCAACGAUGCUGACCCACCAUUGCGCGACAUUGCCUUCACGCUGACCCACUCUUCCUCUCCAUUGCCUCCAUCGCUUUCACUUCACGAGCACAGACCCACCAUCGCGCCAGACAGUAGCUUCGCGCUCGGACAGAGGUAGACGGAUCCACCAUCUGCUUGAUUGUGAGUCAAUUAUUGUUCAGCUGAUAUGAUUGAGCACAUCCAGAAAACAUAGCCUUAAUCGCCAACUGCUAUAGUAUGUAAAGAUGUCCUGCUAAUAAACAGUUCCUACUACUGUUUGCAAAAUAUUUACUAACGUGCUAUGAAUUACUUGUUAUAUUAUAAAUUAAAUUUAAAUUUCAUUUAUAUUUAAUUGUGUAGAUAAUACUUAACUCAUAGUUAAUACUUACUCUUUGAGUUUCUAAACUAGACUUAGUACUUACUAAUUGAGUAUUUGGGUUAAUUUACUUUUUAAAGUUUUUUCUACUUGCUAAUGCAUUAAUUAUUAGCACCUACUUGAUGUACUUCAAUAUGCGUAUAGAUCGUGGUUGGAUGUAUAGUAGGUUAAAGGAUGGCCUAUUCAAUCCUGAAUUUUUACAUGGUCUAAAUGAGUUUGUGAAUGAAGCAAAAAGACACAGAAAUACAUGAAUGGAGAACUCAUUUGGUGUCCAUGCAAUAGAUUUAGGUGUCAAAAUCGCUCUUUUCAAGAUGAAAGUAUUGUUAGGUAUCAUCUAAUCAAGUUUAGAUUUGUACCGAACUAUCAAGAUUGGUACUUGCAUGGUGAGGAACAGUCAUACAAUAUGGAUCCAAUGGCAGAUAACAACACUGAUAGCUCACAACCUGAAGAUGAGCAUCAACCUGCUUUACAUAGUUUUACAGGAAUGGUUAUGGAUGCGGCUAGACCAAACUUUACUCAGUUUGAUAGAAAUGAACAGCCAAAUGUUAGAUGUUGUGAACCAGGAUUUAUGGUCGGGAUGUCAAAAUCACUCUUAGUUAUCAGCAGUUGCUCGGAUGCUUAACAUCAAGUCCAAGGACUUGAGCAUCAUUAGCUAAUGAAAUACUUUCGACAAAUAAUGUGAUGACUCCUAAUUUCUACAGUACAAAGAAACUAGUAUGAGGGUCAGGUCUCCCAGUUGAGAAGAUUCAUUAUUGUGUUAAUAGAUGUAUGCUUUAUUGGAAUGCAAAUAGCAACUUAACUGCAAGCAAGGUCUGUUAGCAUCCAAGAUAUAACAAACGAACAUAUACUCGGGGAAAUCAGAAAACAAAUGUCCCGUACAAGAAGAUGUAUUAUUUUCCCCUAAUUAAGAGGUUGUAAAGGUUGUAUGCAUCGAAUGCCACAGCAAAGUACAUGACAUGGUGCAGUGAUCAUGUUUUUGAAGAUAGGGUGAUGCGUCAUUGUGUUGAUUGUCCUGCUUGGAAGCACUUAAAUUCUACUUAUCCCUCUUUCUCAGUUGAACUAAGAAAUAUCAUACUUGGAUUGUGCAUUGAUGGAUGCCAACAGUUUAGUCAAUCUGGUCAACAAUACUCUUCAGAGCCUAUUAUUUUGACCUGUACAACUUACCACCUGACAUGUGCAUGAAGAAUGAGUAUAUUUACUUGACAAUCAUAAUUCUUAGCCCUAGAAAUCCAAAGGACAGGUUAGACGUUUAUUUGCAGCCUUUGAUAGAAGAAUUAAAAUAUUUGGGGUCGAGACUUAUGAUGCACAUAGAAAAAAUAAUUUUAUUUUGCAUGCAACCAUUAUGUAGACUAUAAGUGAGUUUCCGACAUAUGCCAUGUUAUUCGGUUUGAGUACAACAGGUUGUACAAUUUUUCCAUACUGUAUGGAAAAUUCUGAUGCCUUUACUUUACCAAAGAGAGGUAAACAAUGCUAGUUUGAUAAUCAUUAGAAGUUCUUUCCACCUAAUCAUUCAUUUCGUAGGAAUAAGACAUCUUUCUUUAGAAAUCGCACAGUUGCUAAGUCUGCUCCCCUAAUUAAGACAGGAGAAGAUAUUUUACUGCAAAUUGAGUCUCUUGGUUUGAAGGAGGUUUUUGAAUCUAAUGCAGAGGAAACUAACAAUCAAAUUGGAAGAACAACUUGUUGACGCAAAAGAAGCAUAUUUUGAGAUUUGUCUUAUUAGAGGCAUUUGCCGAUUCGCCACAAUCUAAAUGUUAUGCAUAUUGAAAAAAAUGUGUUUGAUAAUAUAUUCAAUAUUGUAAUGCAAGUUGAAGGUAAGUCAAAGGACAAUAGGAAAUCAAGGGAAGAUUUGAAGGAUAUUUGUGGAAGGUCUGAGUUGAACAUGGAUGAAAGAACUGGCAAAUAUCCGAAGAUAAGUUGCAUACUAUGACGUAGAAUCUUAUGGCACAAGUCUCAAAUCCACACGCACAAGUAGAUGUGGAAUCCAAAGAUUUGAUAAACUCACCUCCUAUGACACCCUACACUUAGAAAAGCUGAAACCAAUGAUCGAAAGAUUUAGAUGAGAAUCAGACAAACGUUAUAAUGAAUAGUUGAUAAGUUAGCCAAGAUUCUUGGUGCAAUUGAUGAAAGCAAAUCCCCACUCUCACUCAAAGCAAGAAUUCUGAAAAUUUAGAUUUAAAACUGUCUCUUACAAGUGUUUCUUAUCCUUAUAUAGUAAGGAAAAAACAAAUAAAACUCUAAGACACUCUUAUUAGACCUGGUUGAACCACACAUAAGGGUCAAGUCCAAUCACACUCUAAAAUAACACCUCAAACUCAUAAAUAUUAAAACGUAAGCCCAAGAUAUGGCCCAAUACUCUAAAACUUAAAAGAUAAAUUAUGGUCAGAAUAUAAGUCCAAACAAGACCAAAAUAAAACAAGUGUUUAAAUAAUAAAACAUAGCAAGCUCAUUAUGACAAAACUGAAUCUUCACAAAAGUCUUUCUUGAUCUUCAGUUUAGGCUUCCUUUGUAUAGUUUUGGCCCAUAGGUUUGAUUAGGCUCCCUAAACCUAAGCCUAUGAUUGUAAGUGUUGCACCAAAUCUACCCUAUAUGAGUCGAAGCACGCCCCAAAUGUAUAUGGAUCAUAUGAAUAUGAUUUUGAACUCCUUUUAGAUCUAUUUGAAUGAUAUAAGUUUGUUCCACACUAUUGUUAGAAAUUUGCCCUAUUGGAUCCGUAUCACACUAGAUAAGCACUCUAAAAAGGUGUUAUGUAAUUGGGUGAAAGCUUAAAUUUCUUAAUGGAUAUAUGUCAAAUCUUAGUAGAUGUGCUGACAUGAGAGCACUCAGGCUAUUUAGAUUAAAGAGCUAUGACUGUCAUGUUUUCUUACAACGUCUACUACUGAUAGCUUUUCGAGAGCUAUUACCAACUAAUGUCUGGGGACCAUUGAUAAAAGUUAGCAAUUUUUUUUAGAGAAAUAACAUAUAGUACCACAAGAGAAGUGAACAUGUUGCAAUUAAAUGAGCAGAUACCGUUGAUACUAUGCAAAUUGGAGCGCAUUUACCCUUCAAGUUUUUUGAAUUCAAUGGAACAUUUGCCAAUGCACUUGGCUUGCGAAGCAUUAAUUGCUAGACUAGUUCAAUAUCGUUGGAUGUAUCUAUUCGAAAGAUAUCUAAGGAAGCUAAAGCAAAAUGUCAAGAAUAAGGCAAAAGUAGAAGGCUCAAUAUGCAAUUCAUAUAUUGUUGAAGAAGCUUCCACAUUCUGUGCGUAUUACUUUGAGCUGCAUGUGAUGACAAGGUAUCGCAGAAUUCCUUGCAAUAUAACUAUUCAAGACGAUGUUGAGCAAAAUACUGGAAAUUUGAGCAUAUUUAAAAUGGCAAGGCAUACACUUGGAAAGGGAAAACUGACCUUAUACGGAAGACAAUGAAUAUAAGGCAUCACAAAUGUACAUCUUUCUUAAUUGCUAGGAAGUGAAGCCCUACAUUAAAUGAAAGGACGAACAUUUGAUAGAGGAACAAGUCGAUCAAGACCAAAGAGGCAUAGUCAAGGCAAACUUAGCAUUCCAAAUAACACACAUACUGCUUCUCAUUUUUGCCAGACAUCACCAGUUGGCCUAGAUGUUGCCCCUCCUAGUCACAAGCUGUUCAUCUAGAUUCACAAACUUUGAUUGAUUCACAGACUGCUCCUCUACUAGUAGAUACAUAGAUGGAUAUUUUACUACCUACUGCAUUAACUUUACCCACAAUAGUGUCAUCAAGACCACAUGUUGCGUCUAUAUCAUCUCAUAUGUGUGGACAUUUACCACCAUCUACAUAGACUCGUCCUUCACCUCCCAAUGCCUUUGCUCCAUUAUCACAUACGCGUGCAACAUUUAUUCCAGCUUCAUCAUCUGCCUGUGCCCCUUUGAUUUCUUCUGCAUCUUUUGCUAAUGUCACUUCUGGGUUGCAAACUUUCAAACAACCAGUUUUAAUUUAUAAUUCAUUUUUGCACCCAUCAAAGAUCUAUUCACAAUGGAUAACAUUGACAUUUAAGGAGUGUCUAGUUGCAAAGCUAUUGUUGGAAGACAGUGCUGGAGGAGACAAAGGAAUUAUACUGAAAUAUUUUUUGUAGGAAGAAGCCGUGGAAAGUCUUGAGAAAUAAGCAUGGAGGAAGAAGGCUUCUGAUCGGUACAAGUGGCUAAUAUGUGAAGUAAAAAAGGGGAAAACAAAGAAUAUAGCAGUAUCUAAUCAUGUAUUGAAGAAAUGGCAAGAGGCAUGGAGCAUAGAUGAAUACAAAGCAAAGCGUUCAAAAUUUGCCUGGAACCGAAUGAGUGAGAUUGGUGGAUCUGGCAUUGGAAUAUUUAAAUAUAGCUGUGGAUCCGUUUGAUAGUUUACGAGGAUGAAAAUGAUGAAAAAUAAAGAUUUGGUUAAAAAUAGCCUAAAAAGUAUAAAGAUUAAUUUAACCAGAGCAAUUUAGGCAAAUCACCCACAGACUGACCAAGAGGAUUGCACAAAUUUACUGGAAGUAUGAAGCUGAUCUUCAGGUUUCGAUUUGCCCAAAUCAAUGGCCAAAUCGAAAGUGUUACACAUAAACCUGGAAUUGGUCUGCAGACACUGAUUUGCCCAAAUUAAUUUGCGCAAAUUGACAAACUUCACAAAAGUCAGAAUACACAGAAAUUCGGAAGUGAUCGGCAGAAACAAUUUGCCCAGAGUGAUUUGCCCAAAUCGAUAGAUUGACAGAAGAUUGUACGAAAACUCAGAAUUGUCUUAUCUUGUAGAAACAGUUCGCAGACAAUGAUUUGACCAAAGAUUUGCCCAAAUUAAUGGGCAAAUCUACAGAAGCGGUAAAAAACGAGCAGAAAGCGGGAAAAUAAAAAAUUCAAAAUACAAAAGUUCAAUUCAUCUCCAACGCACGGGUGACACAUCAUAAACUCAUCAAACUCUUGGCAAAAAGAAUUCCUGCACUCAAGAAAGUCUAUUUAUGGAGAAACACAAUCAAGGAAGGAAUAAAAAACCAAAUCAAAGAAGAAUUCCAUCAAACAAGAGGCUGCUGCUAGGGUUUUUAAAAUAUCUAUUUAAACACAGCAAGAACAGCCGUAGAAGAGGGAGAAUCAUGCAGACCUGAUUCUGCACAACACCAAAUCAAUUUCUUUCAUUUUUUCUCCUUUGUUUCUUGUUUGUAAAAGCUAUGAGUGUGCUGAAAACUUAAUUUCUAAUUGAAGUUAAGAGAAAUUUCAGUUUAUAUAUGAAUUGGGAGAUUUGAAACUC
Molecule: long non-coding RNA, 5716 nt
Organism: Manihot esculenta (cassava)
Lineage: Eukaryota; Viridiplantae; Streptophyta; Magnoliopsida; Malpighiales; Euphorbiaceae
Exons: 7
Source: RefSeq, a predicted model, not a curated record